RNAcentral lists this ribosomal RNA (413 nucleotides) under uncultured bacterium. Its description in RNAcentral is "bacterial SSU rRNA". It matches the Rfam family "Bacterial small subunit ribosomal RNA", at positions 505 to 916 of the family's 1533-position model. The record is from RNAcentral.
GUGUCAGCAGCCGCGGUAAUACGUAGGGGGCGAGCGUUGUCCGGAAUUACUGGGCGUAAAGGGUGCGUAGGCGGCCCUUUAAGUCGGAUGUGAAAGCCCGCGGCUUAACCGCGGAAUGGCAUUCGAAACUGGAGGGCUUGAGUGUCGGAGAGGGUAGUGGAAUUCCCAGUGUAGCGGUGAAAUGCGUAGAGAUUGGGAGGAACACCAGUGGCGAAGGCGGCUUUCUGGACGACAACUGACGCUGAGGCGCGAAAGCGUGGGGAGCAAACAGGAUUAGAUACCCUGGUAGUCCUAGCCGUAAACGAUGGGUACUAGGUGUAGGUGGUUUCGAUACCAUCUGUGCCGCAGUUAACGCAAUAAGUACCCCGCCUGGGGAGUACGUGCGCAAGCAUGAAACUUAAAUGAAUUGACGG